UACAAUCGCUCAUUCAUACUCGCGGUAGUAGAUCGAUUAUCAACCUGGUGAGAUGUAGUAUGCCAUCACCUAUAAUUUGGUCCAACCUCGAUUGAAUUCCAUUUUCAUAUCUCGACGAAAUAGAAGAUAAGAGCUUGAAGAAUGUUUGUUGACCAUUUGAGCAACUAGAAGAAGCAUUGGGCUAUCGAUGGAUUUUUUCAAAAUUGUGUAGCAGAAGACCAUUCUGACUACUCGAGCAGAAAACCACAUAGCAGACGUAUUCAAUGACAAAUCUGGAAUCUCACCAGCAAUUAUUCCUUCCGACUCAAUUGAUCUUCAACAUUGUUCAAGGCAGCACUGAAUAUUGAUCGGCUGUAAUGAAUGUCGAGAGAAGGUCACUUAGCAAACUAAGAUGGCAAUGGUGAGGAUAAUGAAUGAUGUUCUGGAUGAAUAAGUGUGCUAAUGCUCUACUUUGAGCAUAUAAUUGCAAAAAUAAAGCAAAAUGCAAUUAUUGUAGCACAUAACCAAAAAAUGUAGUUUUAUUUUUGAGUUAAAAAAGAAAUCAUGAACCAAAAAUAGUAACAGAGGAAGUCGUAUAACUUUAAGUGAGUUUGACUUUUCUUUUGAACCAAAGGUAGCAUAUUAUUACUUACUUUCAUUGGCGCUACAGUCCGAUGUGGACCUUGGCCUCCUGCACAAUUCGCCUCCAAUCGUCUCUCCUCCCCGUCACAUUCUCACAUCCUCUGACGCCCAAAACACGCAAAUCGGCCCCCACAUCCUCCAGCCAUCUCCUCCUGGGCAUUCCUUUUCUACGCGUACCAAUCAUAUUACUUUUUAACAAAUUAUGCGGUAGCCUGCAGUGCUCCAUUCUCUGGAUAUUCCCAACCAUCUCAACCGUUGUGCCUUGAUAACUCGUACAAUAUCUUCUGGUCCCAUGAAAUUGGCAAACAAAUAUUAUUAUUAAACAAACUAUUACCCAUAUGCUUUGAUAUAAAGAAUAAUAAUAGGAAUUAAUAGGUAAAAAUAGGAAUUAAUAGGUAAAAGGUAA
This is a long non-coding RNA of Nilaparvata lugens (brown planthopper), 1027 nucleotides long. RefSeq lists it as uncharacterized. Lineage: Eukaryota; Metazoa; Arthropoda; Insecta; Hemiptera; Delphacidae. The record is from RefSeq and is a predicted model, not a curated record. The transcript has 3 exons.